RNAcentral lists this ribosomal RNA (421 nucleotides) under Lachnospiraceae bacterium canine oral taxon 073. Its description in RNAcentral is "bacterial SSU rRNA". It matches the Rfam family "Bacterial small subunit ribosomal RNA", at positions 9 to 413 of the family's 1533-position model. The record is from RNAcentral. Lineage: Bacteria; Bacillati; Bacillota; Clostridia; Lachnospirales; Lachnospiraceae.
GAGUUUGAUCAUGGCUCAGGAUGAACGCUGGCGGCAUGCCUAACACAUGCAAGUUGAACGAGAAGUUCUGGAGGGAGUCUUCGGACGAACGAAGGAAUGGAAAGUAGCGGACGAGUGAGUAACGCGUGGGCAACCAACCUUACACAGGGGGAUAACGCAGAGAAAUUUGCGCUAAUACCGCAUAAGCGCACAGUACCGCAUGGUACGGUGUGAAAAACUCCGGUGGUGUAAGACGGGCCCGCGUCUGAUUAGUUAGUUGGUGAGGUAAAAGCUCACCAAGGCGACGAUCAGUAGCCGACCUGAGAGGGUGAUCGGCCACAUUGGGACUGAGACACGGCCCAAACUCCUACGGGAGGCAGCAGUGGGGGAUAUUGCACAAUGGAGGGAACUCUGAUGCAGCAAUGCCGCGUGAAGGAAGACG